GGGUCCAUAGCUCAGCUGGAAGAGCACCUGUUUUGCACGCAGGGGGUCGAGGGUUCGAGUCCCUUUGGAUCCACCA
Molecule: transfer RNA, 76 nt
Filed under: Bacilli bacterium
Lineage: Bacteria; Bacillati; Bacillota; Bacilli
Also listed under: 1 other name
Description: tRNA-Ala
Rfam family: tRNA
About the family: Transfer RNA (tRNA) molecules are approximately 80 nucleotides in length.
Source: RNAcentral